RNAcentral lists this ribosomal RNA (253 nucleotides) under uncultured bacterium. RNAcentral describes it as "partial 16S ribosomal RNA". It matches the Rfam family "Bacterial small subunit ribosomal RNA", at positions 524 to 776 of the family's 1533-position model. The record is from RNAcentral.
UACAGAGGGUGCGAGCGUUAAUCGGAAUUACUGGGCGUAAAGGGCUUGUAGGUGGUUAAUUAAGUCAGAUGUGAAAUCCCAGGGCUCAACCUUGGAACUGCAUUUGAUACUGGUUAACUAGAGUACGGUAGAGGGUGAAGGAAUUUCUGGUGUAGCGGUGAAAUGCGUAGAUAUCAGAAGGAACAUCGAUGGCGAAGGCAUUCACCUGGGCCUGUACUGACACUGAGGAGCGAAAGCGUGGGUAGCGAACAGG